GCUGCCUGCUCUGAACCAGCCCUUCUCUCCUGGCUGCCUCGAAAAGUUUUUCAGCCCCAGGGUUUUCCUGGAAGCAGUGCUGGGGAUCACCAGAGCUCAAUGGUUCAAGUCUGUGUGGUGCUACGACUGGCAAGUCUCCUCACUCCCGGACCCUUCAGCCUGGGGCUUCAAAUACUCCCUAAUAGAUGGCAAGCAUCCUAUGUACAAGUCCCAAGACCCUGAGGUGCAGAUGACUCCUUGUCUCGCUCGCCACUAGCCAAAAGGACAUAGGAGCAAGCUAGAGGAAAAACCCGAGAGCAAUCCCCCAUCACCAUAAAUUGCGCAGCCAAGAUCCUCACAUCGGAGGCAUCUCCUGGGGGACUCAGCCUGCCCACAGUGCGAGGGACAGGCCUUCACCCUCUAACUACACUGAGUCACUCAAGGCCAAGAAUUGUUUCCUGAGACAAAAAUCCCUUGAAGGCUUGCUGGAGGACCAGGCACUGCGCUAGUGGAGUCUCCAUUUGAGGAUUUCCUUUGGGAUCUGAUCAUUCGGCUUCUUCAAGAAAUUGGGUCUUUUUGGGUGGAAAACACUGCCUUUCUCUGGAACGUGCUUGGGAUACCGUGCGGGGAGUUAGAGGAGGCUCCCGGUGCUCACGCAGCCCAGCUCGCAGGCUGCCUGGAUAAUUAUACCCUGCCGUUGUUACAGCUCUGCUAGUUAACCCUGCUCAGACUCACCACGGCGAGCUCCCCACCCACUCCUGCACUGCCAAAGGUGACACGGUGCACGGUGACAAGGAGAGUUUCCAGAAAUAUGGGAAAAUCUGGGGGCGAGUCUUCUCCUAUGGCAACGCAGCUCUCUCCAGGCCGGGACCUGUCUUACACAGGCCACUGCCGGGUCAAAUUCAAAAGUCCAAGUGGGAGACUAAGGUUAGAGGAAUUUCAAUGUCAUGGUUAUGAGAUCUGCUCCUCCUCUCCUGCCCUCCCCGACGCGUCCCCUAAGUCACCGUUCCUGUCAGUCCAUUAUCCCUGAAACCCCAAUUGUGUCCCCUCCGACCCACUCCUUAUCUCCCCUCCACCCCACAUCCCCUGGGCUCCCUGUCACCCCCUCCAGGCCUAAUGUCCACAGCUCCCUUUUCCUCCAGACUCCUUCCUCGCACAGCCCACUUUCCCCAUAGCCGUGGUGCCACAACCCACCCCCGGCCCCUCUCCAGCUGAUCUCCCUCAGCUCCUGUCCCCACGUUGCUGGAUCUCCAAACCACAUCAGCCUCGUUCCCUCCCCUGAAAUUUUCCCUAGGCCUUUUCACACACGGCCCGCUUCAGCCCAUCUGCUCCCAUAGCCCUCUGCAGCCCCUCAGAUUGGGCACCAAAAGAGGCAACUCAGAGUAGAGAAGAGGAGAAGGAGAGCCUGAGGUGCCAGCAGAGCUGCAGCAUGGCACGAGGGAAGGGGCCAGGGCCUGAGUAGUAUGCCACAUUUUCUGUUUGGGAGGAGAUUGCCGCAUUUCCAUAUGCCUGUACAAAUGCACAUUUCAAAUAAAAACAGCUUGACUCUAGAAUUA
Molecule: long non-coding RNA, 1535 nt
Organism: Alligator mississippiensis (American alligator)
Lineage: Eukaryota; Metazoa; Chordata; Crocodylia; Alligatoridae
Exons: 3
Source: RefSeq, a predicted model, not a curated record